This 253-nucleotide ribosomal RNA is filed under the name uncultured bacterium. RNAcentral's name for it is "partial 16S ribosomal RNA". It matches the Rfam family "Bacterial small subunit ribosomal RNA", at positions 524 to 776 of the family's 1533-position model. The record is from RNAcentral.
UACGUAGGGGGCUAGCGUUGUCCGGAAUCAUUGGGCGUAAAGCGCGUGUAGGCGGUCCGUUAAGUCCGCUGUGAAAGUCGGGGGCUCAACCCUCGAAAGCCGGUGGAUACUGUCGGGCUCGAGUACGGAAGAGGCGAGUGGAAUUCCUGGUGUAGCGGUGAAAUGCGCAGAUAUCAGGAGGAACACCAAUUGCGAAGGCAGCUCGCUGGGACGUUACUGACGCUGAGACGCGAAAGCGUGGGGAGCAAACAGG